This is a long non-coding RNA of Phacochoerus africanus (Common warthog), 737 nucleotides long. RefSeq lists it as uncharacterized. NCBI's taxonomy places the organism in Eukaryota, Metazoa, Chordata, Mammalia, Artiodactyla, Suidae. The transcript is spliced from 3 exons. The record is from RefSeq and is a predicted model, not a curated record.
GAUCUAGUGUGGACCUGAUUACAGGGUCUUUUCUCCUGUUUUUUAAAAAAUAUUUGCACAGAAUUUUUAUGAGCUUCACCUCUGUUACUACUGGGCAUGGAUUCUGCUGAAGCCACAGUUAUUUUGCAAGUCAGCGAGGACUUCCCCAGCCCUGGGUUGGAGCUGCACUGAUAACUUUGCUCUAAAUUCUCUCUUUAAUGGAAAAAAACAUGGAUGGAAGGCAGAGGAGCAUAAAUCUUGCAAGUUGCUUUUCCGAGACCAGCCAGAACUAGCCCUAAAUGAAGACAGUGAAUGCUGCUGGCGGCUGUAUUCUCCUCAUUCUGAUUUCAACAAGUAGUCGCCAGCCAGAGGAGCAUUAGAAGACCAAGCCUCACAUCUUCUGGUCAUAGAAUUCCUUUCUGCAGGCUCCACUGCAGGCUGAGGCCCCCCGCGUAACCUGAGACGCCUCGAUUUCCCUGAAGACAGCACAUUAAAGAGGUCUGUUGGCCAGCUGCAGGAACAGGCCAUUGUUUCCACUUCUGGAUUUCUCCUGAACAUCGUACUUCACUUCCAAUAAUCUACUAAAGAGGCUGAGAUUUCUCUUCCGUACUGCAUGCUCCUAAAAUUAAGAGAAGGAAACUCCAAGGGUUCAAUUUCAAUUAAAAUAUUCAAAAGACCAAAGUAAGUAUGCAUCAGUGAAACUGCAAGAUGAACAGGCUGAGUGAGAGGUAAUGUCAUUCCUUCCUGAAGUUCAAAAU